Unclassified non-coding RNA from Otolemur garnettii (small-eared galago), 101 nucleotides. It matches the Rfam family "Y RNA". From Rfam's summary of the family: Y RNAs are components of the Ro ribonucleoprotein particle (Ro RNP), in association with Ro60 and La proteins. The Y RNAs and Ro60 and La proteins are well conserved, but the function of the Ro RNP is not known. In humans the RNA component can be one of four small RNAs -- hY1, hY3, hY4 and hY5. The record is from Ensembl. Lineage: Eukaryota; Metazoa; Chordata; Mammalia; Primates; Galagidae.
GGCUAAUCUGAGUGCAGUGAUGUUUACAACUAAUUAUUGCAACCAGUUACAGAUUUCUUUGCUCCUUCUCCAUGCCCACUGCUUCACAUGACUGACUUUCA